This 1657-nucleotide long non-coding RNA is filed under the name Strongylocentrotus purpuratus (purple sea urchin). Its description in RNAcentral is "uncharacterized LOC115920340". Lineage: Eukaryota; Metazoa; Echinodermata; Echinoidea; Camarodonta; Strongylocentrotidae. The record is from RNAcentral.
UUUUUUUUUUAGUCGCUGGGGACAGCGAUUUAGAAGAAGGGAGGUAGUGUGACGGUCAGCGUAAAAUCUAACUUGUUCAUUUUUAUAAAACUGACUUGAAACACCAAAAUAUAUAUGUGGGACUGAUUUUUCGAUCUUUUCAUAUAUUUUUGUCUAUUUCACUUGUUAAAUUGCUGAGUUAUACUGUCAGGCUGACUUACCAUUAUUCUAAAUGUCUGUACUCUCGGAAUAAGGCUCUUACUUUAUUUUGAUCAAUAUAUUUCUCUUUGUAUAAAGGUUACAAAUUAUUUGAUGUAAUCGCACUUACUUUGAAAUAGUUAUUGCGAAGAUUUAUGAAUAUUCAUGUGCGUACAUAUUCGCGUGGUUAAAGCAUACGCGCAUAGCGCAUGGUAGUGCGCUGAUAUGUGAUAGCCGAGUUUGAUCGAUGUGGCUAGGCUGUACACUUUGGCAUUAGAUGCGCUGUGAAACUGACCUGUCUGUGAACCUUGUUGAACCGAGAUUUACGACUAUAGACCAUAUCUGCUGUGUGACCUAAUACAUUACUAGUAAUAUGAAUUUCUGGAGGACGAGGCUGAGGGCCUCAGUAACUUAGUCUGUCACCUGUACCUAGUAGUUUAAGAAUAUAUCUAUCUACAUGUAAAGCAGUUGUAACUUAUAUAUAUUGAACAUUUGUAUAUUUAAUAAUUGUAUUCUAUAUAGUUGUACUUUAAAUAUAUUCGUCAUAUUUAUGAACAAAGUAAAUACGAUCUGAUGCUAUUACUUGCAUAAGAUUUAGUCACUUGUAAAUAGAUUCACAAUUCAACAAUUAAUGAUGUACAAAUUAAUAUAAGUAGCUUAUGUAUUUAUGGAGCUGUAACUUACAUGUAUAUUUUAUCUUAGUAACACUUAUUGAUAAUGAUCCCUUAAUAAGCACUGAAUUACAGAGAGCAAGGAACGAAUCCCUAGACAAACCGGUUGUCUUAAGAUUAAAGUACGUUUAGAACUGAUUAGUAAUUCUGGAAGUUAGCAAUAGGAUAGGAAUUGGAAAUUUGAGGCUAUAACCUAUUGUAAAGACCUAAGGAUUAAAGAUCGCAUGGUUAUGCCGACAGAGUGAGCUGCCAUGACGAGAUUAGGGGUGGAUAGACCAGUAAGUAAAAUACCCGUUGAGCGGUGAAUCCGAAUACCAUAAGUUGAUUAUGCCUAGGCAAUAAGAAGGAAGGCAGUUAAGUAUUUGUACUUGAACUUGGAAUGAAGUAAUUAUUGGAUGGCUGCUGGUCAGCCUAGAUUGACCGUAAGAUGAAGUGGCUAUGUUGUGCCCGGAAUAGAAUUACUUUCUCAUGUUUUAGUAGGAAAGAAAAGGUACACUUUGGAAUAGAAUUCAGUUGCUAAUGAUCUAUUAUUGUAACAUCUUAAACCUGUCCCUAUAGAACUCUUUAACAUAAUACUGCAUCUACUAUUAUAGUCUAUACAAUUAAGUUAGUAUCACUUAGGUAAAUGAUUGGUUGUCUGACAAAAGUGACAACACAUCUGUAUAUAAUGUACAUUUGAACUCUUAUACUUAGUAAUUGCAUUGCAUACAUUUUCGAGUUGAAUUACGUCAACGUUGAAUUAGGCAUGAAAGCCUCACUGUUAAUUGAAAUCCAUUAAUAAAGUGUUACUUGUUAUUUGUUCACCUGAA